UGGAUGUAAUGACUGAGAUGCUGAUGAAAUCUCAAAAUUCCUCUGGACAGUCAAGUACUGAUCAAG
RNAcentral lists this small nucleolar RNA (66 nucleotides) under Chelydra serpentina (North American snapping turtle). RNAcentral's name for it is "Small nucleolar RNA SNORD20 (ENSCSRG00000012760.1)". It matches the Rfam family "Small nucleolar RNA SNORD20". From Rfam's summary of the family: U20 is a C/D box small nucleolar RNA that is encoded in intron 11 of the nucleolin gene in human, mouse and rat. The record is from Rfam by way of RNAcentral. Lineage: Eukaryota; Metazoa; Chordata; Testudines; Chelydridae.